RNAcentral lists this ribosomal RNA (440 nucleotides) under uncultured bacterium. Its description in RNAcentral is "partial 16S ribosomal RNA". It matches the Rfam family "Bacterial small subunit ribosomal RNA", at positions 339 to 795 of the family's 1533-position model. The record is from RNAcentral.
CUACGGGAGGCACCAGUGAGGAAUAUUGCACAAUGGGGGGAACCCUGAUGCAGCAACGCCACGUGGAGGAUGACGCAUUUCGGUGUGUAAACUCCUUUUAUAUGUCAAGAAAAUGACGGUAGCAUAUGAAUAAGCACCGGCUAACUCCGUGCCAGCAGCCGCGGUAAUACGGAGGGUGCAAGCGUGUACUCGGAAUCACUGGGCGUAAAGGACGCGUAGGCGGGUUGGAAAGUCAGGUGUGAAAUCCUACAGCUUAACUGUAGAACUGCACUUGAAACUUCUAAUCUAGAGUAUGGGAGGGGGAGAUGGAAUUAGUGGUGUAGGGGUAAAAUCCGUAGAUAUCACUAGGAAUACCUAAAGCGAAGGCGAUCUCCUGGAACAUUACUGACGCUAAGGCGUGAAAGCGUGGGGAGCAAACAGGAUUAGAUACCCGAGUAGUC